Molecule: ribosomal RNA, 685 nt
Filed under: Pseudoalteromonas sp. Pc240
Lineage: Bacteria; Pseudomonadati; Pseudomonadota; Gammaproteobacteria; Alteromonadales; Pseudoalteromonadaceae
Description: bacterial SSU rRNA
Rfam family: Bacterial small subunit ribosomal RNA
Source: RNAcentral
GAGUUUGAUCCUGGCUCAGAUUGAACGCUGGCGGCAGGCCUAACACAUGCAAGUYGAGCGGUAACAUUUCUAGCUUGCUAGAAGAUGACGAGCGGCGGACGGGUGAGUAAUACUUGGGAACAUGCCUGAGGUGGGGGACAACCAUUGGAAACGAUGGCUAAUACCGCAUAAUGUCUACKGACCAAAGGGGGCUUCGGCUCUCGCCUUUAGAUUGGCCCAAGUGGGAUUAGCUAGUUGGUGAGGUAAAGGCUCACAAGGCGACGAUCCCUAGCUGGUUUGAGAGGAUGAUCAGCCACACUGGAACUGAGACACGGUCCAGACUCCUACGGGAGGCAGCAGUGGGGAAUAUUGCACAAUGGGCGCAAGCUGGAUGCAGCCAUGCGCGUGUGUGAAGAAGGCCUUCGGGUUGUAAAGCACUUUCAGUCAGGAGGAAAGGUUAGUAGUUAAUACCUGCUAGCUGUGACGUUACUGACAGAAGAAGCACCSGCUAACUCCGUGCCAGCAGCCGGGUAAUACGGAGGGUGCGAGCGUUAAUCGGAAUUACUGGGCGUAAAGCGUACGCAGGCGGUUUGUUAAGCGAGAUGUGAAAGCCCCGGGCUUAACCUGGGAMCUGCAUUUCGACCUGGCAAACUAGAUGUGAUAGAGGGUGGUAGAAUUUCAGGUGUAGCGGUGAAAUGCGUAGAGA